This 459-nucleotide small RNA is filed under the name Pan troglodytes (chimpanzee). Its description in RNAcentral is "processed transcript". The record is from RNAcentral. Lineage: Eukaryota; Metazoa; Chordata; Mammalia; Primates; Hominidae.
CAAGGGACUGGCCAUUGGAGAUUAUGUUUGUGGUAAAGGCCUGACCUGCUGCUUGUGAACAGCCCCAGUGUGGAAGAGGACACCUAACCAUAAAGAGAAGGGUUCCAUUCAGAGCCGAUACAUGAGCAUGAGUGUGUGGACAAGCCCACGGAGACUUGUGGAGCUGGCAGGGCAGAGCCUGCUGGAGGAUGAGGCCCUGGCCAUUGCCGCCCUGGAGUUGCUGCCGAGGGAGCUCUUCCCGCCACUCUUCAUGGCAGCCUUUGACGGGAGACACAGCCAGACCCUGAAGGCAAUGGUGCAGGCCUGGCCCUUCACCUGCCUCCCUCUGGGAGCGCUGAUGAAGGGACAACAUCUUGACCUGGAGACCUUCAAAGCUGUGCUUGAUGGACUUGAUGUGCUCCUUGCCCAGGAGGUUCGCCCCAGGAGGUGGAAACUUCAAGUGCUGGAUUUACGGAAGAA